This 758-nucleotide ribosomal RNA is filed under the name uncultured bacterium. RNAcentral describes it as "bacterial SSU rRNA". It matches the Rfam family "Bacterial small subunit ribosomal RNA", at positions 8 to 796 of the family's 1533-position model. The record is from RNAcentral.
AGAGUUUGAUCCUGGCUCAGGAUAAACGCUGGCGGCGUGCAUGAGACAUGCAAGUCGAACGGACGAGCUUGCUCGUUAGUGGCGGACGGCUGAGUAACGCGUAGGUGACCUGCCCCGAAGUGGGGGAUAACUGCCCGAAAGGGUGGCUAAUACCGCAUGUGGCGACACACUCAUUUGUGUCAUCAAAGCCGCGAGGCGCUUCGGGAGGGGCCUGCGUCCGAUUAGCUCGUUGGUGGGGUAAUGGCUCACCAAGGCGACGAUCGGUAGGUGGUCUGAGAGGACGAUCACCCAGACUGGGACUGAGACACGGCCCAGACUCCUACGGGAGGCAGCAGUCGGGAAUUUUGCUCAAUGGGCGCAAGCCUGAAGCAGCAACGCCGCGUGCGGGAUGACGGCCUUCGGGUUGUAAACCGCUUUUACCAGGGACGAUAAUGACGGUACCUGAUGAAUAAGUCACGGCUAACUACGUGCCAGCAGCCGCGGUAAUACGUAGGUGACCAGCGUUGUCCGGAUUUACUGGGCGUAAAGAGCGCGCAGGCGGUCGUUCAAGUCGAGUGUGAAAGCCCCCGGCUCAACUGGGGAGGGUCACUCGAUACUGAUCGACUUGAAGGCAGGAGAGGGAAGCGGAAUUCCCGGUGUAGUGGUGAAAUGCGUAGAUAUCGGGAGGAACCCAGUGGCGAAGGCGGCUUCCUGGCCUGUUCUUGACGCUGAGGCGCGAAAGCUAGGGGAGCAAACGGGAUUAGAUACCCUAGUAGUCC